ACGAAUAUUUUUAUACUACUGAAAUGCUAAUCAGUUUCUUCAACUAAAUUAAUAAGUCAAAACCAUGUAUAGGUUUGUGAAAAGCCUUUAAACAAUCAUGUUUGCCCUGCAGACAAACGUAUGAAGCAAAAAUACAUUUUUUAAAUUUGUUUAUGUUGUAGAAACUAAAUGUAAAAUAACAAUGCUAACUCUGUGACCUAUUUUCAACAUGGCGGGUGCUAGGAUUAUCACCGGAGCAACUGUGGAGAAAAGCACAUCGCCUUUACAGUGCUAAAACAUAAUGCUUUCUUAAUUUUAUGAAGAACACGCACUAGAGAUGCUUAGGUACAUCUCAGAAGGAUUGGUGUGCACCAGAAUAUCACAAGAAAUGGCCAUAGCAGCUGGUCGUCCUUAGAAUGUGCGUUUUUUUUUUUUGUUGUUGUUGUUGAACCACGUCUUCAGACUGUUGUCAGGCUUGGGUUCCUCAAUAUAUCCAGCUCAUCGAUUUAGCUCUGGAUGUUUGUUGUAAGGGCUUUGUUACAUGUGUUAUCAUAACACAAACAGUUAAGAGACAGCUUGUAGACAGCUUCAAUAGAAAUUUCUUACCCAGAAUCAAAGAUUUUACAUCCUAGGCCUGGAUGUGAACCUUGACCUGGACAAUCGUACAGAUAAUAAUAGAAGAGUCACCUGAAAUUGCACAGGCAAAUUCAUCAGAUUCAGAUGUGAGCACCAACUCUGUCUUUCUAUUAUGAAAUUCUGGAUUUGAAAUUGGAUUUCCAUUGGAUUGACAAAUAUUGACAAUUGACAGUUCAGUCACACUAAACUAUAGUGGCAUGUUGCUUCAAGUUACCACACUUGUUCUAAGAUUGCUGAAUUAUCAUUACUGUCUAAGGAGACCCUAGAUCUCUCAACCAGAAGAAGAAGCUUGGGGAUCAAUCAGUAAUAAGAUUAAAAUCUGUGGAACACUACCCAUCACUGUUGUGUUCAGUAUAUGGAAAA
Molecule: long non-coding RNA, 978 nt
Organism: Lingula anatina
Lineage: Eukaryota; Metazoa; Brachiopoda; Lingulata; Lingulida; Lingulidae
Source: RefSeq, a predicted model, not a curated record